GAUGAACGCUGGCGGCGUGCCUAAUACAUGCAAGUCGAACGGUGUAUCGCAAGAUACAUAGUGGCGAACGGGUGAGUAACGCGUUGGUGACCUGCCCCGAAGAGUGGGAUACCAGUUCGAAAGGACUGCUAAUACCGCAUGCGGUUCAUGAGAUUAGAGGCUUAUGAACCAAAGGAGACAUUCGCUUCGGGAGGGGCCUGCGUCCCAUCAGCUAGUUGGUAGGGUAACGGCCUACCAAGGCGAUGACGGGUAGGGGACCUGAGAGGGUGGCCCCCCACAAUGGAACUGAAACACGGUCCAUACACCUACGGGUGGCAGCAGUAGGGAAUAUUGCAAAAUGGGCGCAAGCCCGAUGCAGCAACGCCGCGUGGGCGAUGAAGGCCUUGGGUCGUAAAGCCCUUUUGAGGGGAUGAGGAAGGACAGUACCCUCAGAAUAAGCCUCGGCUAACUACGUG
This 455-nucleotide ribosomal RNA is filed under the name uncultured bacterium. RNAcentral's name for it is "bacterial SSU rRNA". It matches the Rfam family "Bacterial small subunit ribosomal RNA", at positions 28 to 507 of the family's 1533-position model. The record is from RNAcentral.